This 944-nucleotide long non-coding RNA is filed under the name Zea mays. Its description in RNAcentral is "long non-coding RNA (ZMAY_LNC005541)". Lineage: Eukaryota; Viridiplantae; Streptophyta; Magnoliopsida; Poales; Poaceae. The record is from RNAcentral.
ACAAGUCCAAAUAUAUAAGUUCACAAAUUCACAUAAGUCCAAAUACAUAAGUUCACAAAUUCACACAAGUUCACAUCCAUAGUUCACAUUUUUAGUUCACAAGUUCAAACAUUAACUCCAUCGCUCUCGAUCAGGACAUCGGAUUGUUGUUCGUAGCUCCACCACUAGAAUUGAGACAUCUGUCCGCAAAGUCAAUGUGAGGGGGAGGAGUCACUUGAUGAGAGCCGGAAUCCUACAAAAUAAAUCAAAAUUCUCAUAAAUACACAACUGGCAUUAAAUCACAUGUACACAAAGAUAUAGGAAAGCAUGAUAAACACAAAAUGUGGCUUCCAUAUUUGUGCAUGAACAUGAACAUGAGAGUGAAAACAGACUUCAUUUCAAGACGCAGCACCGUGUUAUUUAAAAUGAUGCAUAGUGCAAAGGAUCCGCGAUGUUAACUGUCCAAGAAACUACUUUGGAAAUUCAGACUUAGACGCUAUUCCAAAUCUGAAAAUUCAGAAUUCAGCCACCUAACAGUCCAAAGCAUGUCACAAUAAAACAGCUCUCACAACACUAAAUUUUAAAUUCACUAAAGCAUGUUAGGCGCUGGAAGAUGCAAAGUGAUGUAACAAAGAGAGGGAAGUUUCAGUAGGGUCUAACAACCUUCCUCACCAUGUCAGGCGCUGGAAGAUUUACAGAUUGGAAACGACUGACUAGGCAUGUAAAGUCUUAACAUAAAUAUAGCAAAAGAGCAUAUAACUAAAACAACUGACUGCGUAUGUAAAGUCUUAACAUAAAUAUAGCAGUUCAAUGUCUCAAAUAUAUGGCAUCAAAUCCUCCAAGGUACAACGAUUUAACAAUGACUUACCAGUUGCUUACAAAGUUUUUGGAAGCCACACAACUUGACCAGACCCUCUUAACAGCUGAGCAUCAUAUUGAGAACACCAUGGUAAACGGCUCGCUCA